GCAAGUCGAGGGGUAACAGGGAAGCUUGCUUUCGCUGACGACCGGCGCACGGGUGCGUAACGCGUAUACAAUCUACCUUAUACUGGAGAAUAGCCCGAAGAAAUUCGGAUUAAUGCUCCAUAAUACUAUCUUUUCACCUGAUUAGAUAUUUAAAGCUCCGGCGGUAUAAGAUGAGUAUGCGUGAUAUUAGCUAGUUGGUAAGGUAACGGCUUACCAAGGCAACGAUAUCUAGGGGGUCUGAGAGGACUAUC
This 251-nucleotide ribosomal RNA is filed under the name uncultured bacterium. RNAcentral's name for it is "partial 16S ribosomal RNA". It matches the Rfam family "Bacterial small subunit ribosomal RNA", at positions 57 to 305 of the family's 1533-position model. The record is from RNAcentral.